Molecule: non-coding RNA, 133 nt
Organism: Gossypium hirsutum (cotton)
Lineage: Eukaryota; Viridiplantae; Streptophyta; Magnoliopsida; Malvales; Malvaceae
Source: Rfam
UGUUAAAAAUUUCAUCCAUUUUUACUGUUAGAGAUUGGUCCCUACAUGUUAGCAUAAGAUACAUGUGACAUGCCAAGCAUCACUAUUUGAUUACGCUAUUUUUUAACAAUAUAAAAUGAUGAUUUUUUUAACA